Molecule: non-coding RNA, 2569 nt
Organism: Notechis scutatus (mainland tiger snake)
Lineage: Eukaryota; Metazoa; Chordata; Lepidosauria; Squamata; Elapidae
Source: RefSeq, a predicted model, not a curated record
GGACAGAAACGUCCACCUUAAGCCGCCUUCCCCCCCCCCACCCCAAUACGUGUUUUUUUUAAAAUUCUGUUACAUAAUUUCUUGUGUUUCGAAGUGCCGUGGGUUUUAAACUGCCGCGUCAGGAUUUGCAGGCCUGCCUAGGACUUAAGUUAUGGAGAUUUGUUCAUUGCAAACUUCAGUUUGUUCGGAUUUGCUUAGGUUUUUUUUAGCUAGACAUGGAGACUAGAUAGAGAAAAAGAGGUCAGUCGCAUCCCACCUCUACCCCCUUUGCUUCAACUGAAAACUUUCAAACUACUUCCUUGGGUAAGAAGAAUAAAUAUGAACUGUGUGUUUUCUCACCCCCCCCCUGGCUGUAAUGUUUGCAGUAUUUCUAGCCUUUUGCUAGAAAUAUACUGCCUGACCUCAUUUCUGCAAGGUGUGUGAUAAAUUAGAAUCAAUACACCACUAUUUUGCUUUUUAAAAAAACAGUGUUCAAGAAGUGCUUAGGAGCUUUUUAAAAAGUAAGUUCAGGAGUGGAAAUGAAGAAUAAUAAACAAUAUCCAGUCCCUAAUCCCUGGAUGAAUCCUUCAUGUUUAGUCCUUUGCAUUUGCUUUAUCCUCUGGUAUUUCCACAGAGAACAAUCUGUUGUUUGUAAGUAUAUCUGGGCCUACCAGUGAAAUGCAAGAUUUCCCCCAUUUUCCAGGAAAGACUUAUCUAGUGUUUGCUACAGGCCCUGUCAAUCAAUGACGUGGAAAUAAGCAAUUCAGUCUGCUAUUUUAUCUAUGCUUAUUUGGAAGUCAAUCCCUCUUAACACUCUGGAAGUGAUAUCCAUGUAAGGAACUUUCCCACUCAGCUGUGGAGAGGAAGAAGACUGAACAGAUAAAGAUUUUAGGAGAAUGAUCUAUUUUGAUGUAACAGAAAUGACUAUCUGAUAGUUACCAUUCAAGAGACUAGUAAAUAUCUCUUGUGGUCCUAUUAGCUUUUAUGGGGGUAGUAAGAAAGUAACAAUGAAAUUUACAGCUGCACAAUGGGAUGAUAAUCACUAGUUUCAUGGCUUUCCAAAAAAAUUAGCGGGAAAAGAUGACUUUUUGAGGAAAAAUCUGCCAACAACUAUUGCAAAGACAAGUAUGUAAGAUACUUGGACCAAAAAUAGGGAAUGGGAGCCUUUUGGAUGUUUUCAAUGGGCAAUGUAAUCUUAAAUUUAGAUGGCUUUUGUAUAUCAAAUUAAAACUUAACUUACAGAACUUUUUUGCAAUCAGGUUCUGCUGCUUUCAUUUUUUUCCAAAUAGCAUAAGUUCAAAAUAAUAGUCCUGAAUUGGGGAUUAAUACCCUAAUUCUAAAACACUAUGGAAAUACAAGGUGCAUAUUAGCUUAAAAACUCUGAAUCUUGGAUCAUAUUGUACACCAAAAAAGUUAUGCCCAAUGUAAUAUUUAUUAUUGAACCUGCCCAUUGUGAAUUAAAACAAACAGACUGAAUAUUCAGAGAAAUCAAGUUCCAACCCUUUGCCCAAAAAACAGAAUAAAAGAAUGUGAUGCUUGAAUGUGUAAUCCUAAUUACAAUUUGAAUGGAAUAAACAGGAAAAAUACGAGUGGGAGUUGCUAAAGAGCUGGUCGCGUGCUUUAUUACAUUUGAUACUCAAUGUUUCUAUACUUUCACUUUGGCUGCUUCUUUUCUCAAACAGCUAUAAUUCUACUGUGGGGGGAAAAACAAGAUAGAGUAACCGGAACUGAAUAAUAGCUGAAUAUAGUUGGCUCAAAUAUAGCUAAAAAGAUAUACUGACUUUUCAAAGAUUGAUUUGAAUAUAUAGCCAAAUUGAUUGUCCAAAUUGAUUCAUCCACACUGGUCAGAAAACUGAAAAUCAAACCAUUUUCAUGAUGCUGCUGUAAUUGAAAUUAUUUCAAGUGGGUUUUAAUUCCAGCACUUCAGGAAAUAAAAAGGCCUCCCUGCCGUCUCUCCCAGAAAGCAAAGACAUGAGUCAAACUACCCUUGGAGGAUGAAACUCAGCUGAUACAGAUGGCGUUUUCACACAUCAUGAUGUUAACCAAAUGGAUAGCUUGUUGACUACAGAUUCACAUGGCAGGAGCCUGUGGUUGGUUCACCACCAACACCAGGUAAGUGCAGUGGUUCACUAGGACUGGACUGAGAUAUACAAGCCCCUCCAAAUAUUGUUGCAGUUGCUAUACACUCUUUUUAAAAUCUUCUCACAAAAUAGAUGCACUGCUGUAAGCAAAAAUCCAAACCGCUGUAUCCAUCAUCUUCAUUUCCCAGAGAAUAGGAAAUCUGUGAGAAUAAAAUAGAAGGAGAGAAAGAGUGCCGCUGCUUACCCACUAGUAAGAAGAGAUUGGAGACUUAAAGGAAAAAGAAGUCCAGCAUUUUAUGAAUAGGAGAAUCAAGCAAGUCAGUGCUAAGAAAGGCAAGUGAUGAUUUUCUUUCCAAGAAAGCAGCUUCCUCAGGACUCACUCCAGAGGGGGUAUUCGGCAGGUUCUGACCAGUUCUGGAGAACCGGUAGCAGAAAUUUUUAGUAGUUUGGAGAACCGGCAAAUACCACCUCUGACUGGAGAGUUUACAGUAUCCUUCCCCUGCUACGCC